Molecule: ribosomal RNA, 642 nt
Filed under: Bacillus thuringiensis
Lineage: Bacteria; Bacillati; Bacillota; Bacilli; Caryophanales; Bacillaceae
Description: bacterial SSU rRNA
Rfam family: Bacterial small subunit ribosomal RNA
Source: RNAcentral
AGUUAGCGGCGGACGGGUGAGUAACACGUGGGUAACCUGCCCAUAAGACUGGGAUAACUCCGGGAAACCGGGGCUAAUACCGGAUAACAUUUUGAACCGCAUGGUUCGAAAUUGAAAGGCGGCUUCGGCUGUCACUUAUGGAUGGACCCGCGUCGCAUUAGCUAGUUGGUGAGGUAACGGCUCACCAAGGCAACGAUGCGUAGCCGACCUGAGAGGGUGAUCGGCCACACUGGGACUGAGACACGGCCCAGACUCCUACGGGAGGCAGCAGUAGGGAAUCUUCCGCAAUGGACGAAAGUCUGACGGAGCAACGCCGCGUGAGUGAUGAAGGCUUUCGGGUCGUAAAACUCUGUUGUUAGGGAAGAACAAGUGCUAGUUGAAUAAGCUGGCACCUUGACGGUACCUAACCAGAAAGCCACGGCUAACUACGUGCCAGCAGCCGCGGUAAUACGUAGGUGGCAAGCGUUAUCCGGAAUUAUUGGGCGUAAAGCGCGCGCAGGUGGUUUCUUAAGUCUGAUGUGAAAGCCCACGGCUCAACCGUGGAGGGUCAUUGGAAACUGGGAGACUUGAGUGCAGAAGAGGAAAGUGGAAUUCCAUGUGUAGCGGUGAAAUGCGUAGAGAUAUGGAGGAACACCAGUGGCG